GAGCACCACAAAUCCAGAUUAAAUAAAAAAUUGCACAUUUUUAAGGCCAUUUUUUUAAACAUCUGAUGCACAAACAGAUUCUUAACAUCAAUGAUUCGAGUUGUUUCAAGCAUAGCCACAAUCUAAAAAAACAAAAGAUAUGAUCUCAAACAUGUUCAGAGAUCAACCGUGAAUUCAGAUCCUAAGAUUCAAAAAUAAAAUAUGAUAGAAAAAUAAAAACCAGAUGGGAUAUUGCUCCACCUCUCAGUUUCAUCUGUCAUCUUCACCACCAAGAAACCUCUUUAUCUAAAUUCAGAAAAAAAAACACCACAAUCUUUGUUAUUUCUCCUCCAAUCAGAACCUUUUCUCCUCAACUCCUCCAAUAUUCAUCGAUGGAUUUGAUUUUGAGAACAAAUUGAUUGUUUCAAAAUCCUUUCCAAAUCAAUUAUUUCCAGAACGUUUCCAAACAUAGGUAUAACGAUUGUUUCCUAAUCUAGGUUUCAAAUUUGUUUAUCAAGAAAAAACACACAUGACGAGACAUAUCAAACAAAAUCAUACCUCACUGUUGAAGAAUCUGUAUUUGAAAUCAACAACCUAAAAACCCAGAAAACUCGGGACGACCCAGAUGUUGAAAUUUCAUGGGUAAACUUAUGCAAGAAGAUUCAACUACCCAGAAGAACGGAAAAGAAUUAAGUCAAAAUUCCUGACCCCCUUUACGAACAGAGAUUUAAGGCUUCAGUUCCAUUGCUACUCUGAAUCUUUUGAUCUACAAAAAAGCAACCUUACGGAUGAAAAAAAAAUGGAGAGAUGGUCUUGCGAUUUUAGAUACCUUCUUAUCCUCGUUGUAAUCUUCAUAUUCGCAGUAUUCAAGGGUUAUUUGGUUGGAGAUUGGUUUCAAGGUAGGUGUGAUGGGUUUCAGUUUUGGGUUUAAAGGAUCUUGGAAGAAAUUUUGGGGGUUCAUGAAUGGUUUCUGGAAAAUCAAGAAGAAAAGCUUUAUGGGUUCGUGAAUAAUUUAUGGGUUUGUGAAUGUGAUGUUCUUGUUGUUGAAAUCAGGAAAAAAAUGUUCUUGAGAUUCAUAUUCUUGUGUAUUUAUCACUAAAGAAGAGAGAGAGAGAGAGAGAG
RNAcentral lists this long non-coding RNA (1101 nucleotides) under Lactuca sativa (garden lettuce). RNAcentral's name for it is "long non-coding RNA (LSAT_LNC007415)". The record is from RNAcentral. Lineage: Eukaryota; Viridiplantae; Streptophyta; Magnoliopsida; Asterales; Asteraceae.